UAGGGAAUCUUCGGCAAUGGACGGAAGUCUGACCGAGCAACGCCGCGUGAGUGAAGAAGGUUUUCGGAUCGUAAAGCUCUGUUGUAAGAGAAGAACGAGUGUGAGAGUGGAAAGUUCACACUGUGACGGUAUCUUACCAGAAAGGGACGGCUAACUACGUGCCAGCAACCGCGGUAAUACGUAGGUCCCGAGCGUUGUCCGGAUUUAUUGGGCGUAAAGCGAGCGCAGGCGGUUAGAUAAGUCUGAAGUUAAAGGCUGUGGCUUAACCAUAGUAGGCUUUGGAAACUGUUUAACUUGAGUGCAAGAGGGGAGAGUGGAAUUCCAUGUGUAGCGGUGAAAUGCGUAGAUAUAUGGAGGAACACCGGUGGCGAAAGCGGCUCUCUGGCUCGUAACUGACGCUGAGGCUCGAAAGCGUGGGGAGCAAACAGGAUUAGAUACCCUGGUAGUCCACGCUGUAAACGAUGAGUGCUAGGUGUUAGACCCUUUCCGGGGUUUAGUGCCGUAGCUAACGCAUUAAGCACUCCGCCUGGGGAGUACGACCGCAAGGUUG
Molecule: ribosomal RNA, 550 nt
Filed under: uncultured bacterium
Lineage: Bacteria
Description: bacterial SSU rRNA
Rfam family: Bacterial small subunit ribosomal RNA
Source: RNAcentral